UGGGGAAUAUUGCACAAUGGGCGAGAGCCUGAUGCAGCAACGCCGCGUGAGUGAUGAAGGUCUUCGGAUUGUAAAGCUCUGUCUUUUGGGACGAUAAUGACGGUACCAAAGGAGGAAGCCACGGCUAACUACGUGCCAGCAGCCGCGGUAAUACGUAGGUGGCGAGCGUUGUCCGGAUUUACUGGGCGUAAAGGGUGCGUAGGCGGAUGUUUAAGUGAGAUGUGAAAUACCCGGGCUUAACUUGGGUGCUGCAUUUCAAACUGGAUAUCUAGAGUGCAGGAGAGGAGAAUGGAAUUCCUAGUGUAGCGGUGAAAUGCGUAGAGAUUAGGAAGAACACCAGUGGCGAAGGCGAUUCUCUGGACUGUAACUGACGCUGAGGCACGAAAGCGUGGGUAGCAAACAGGAUUAGAUACCCUGGUAGUCCACGCCGUAAACGAUGAGUACUAGGUGUAGGAGGUAUCGACCCCUUCUGUGCCGCAGUAAACACAUUAAGUACUCCGCCUGGGAAGUACGAUCGCAAGAUUAAAAC
Molecule: ribosomal RNA, 529 nt
Filed under: uncultured bacterium
Lineage: Bacteria
Description: partial 16S ribosomal RNA
Rfam family: Bacterial small subunit ribosomal RNA
Source: RNAcentral